CGGGCCGCACAAGCGGUGGAGCAUGUUGGUUUAAUUCGAAGCAACGCGAAGAACCUUACCAGGUCUUGACAUCCCGAUGCUAUUUCUAGAGAUAGAAAGUUACUUCGGUACAUCGGUGACAGGUGGUGCAUGGUUGUCGUCAGCUCGUGUCGUGAGAUGUUGGGUUAAGUCCCGCAACGAGCGCAACCCCUAUUGUUAGUUGCCAUCAUUCAGUUGGGCACUCUAGCGAGACUGCCGGUAAUAACCGGAGGAAGUGGGGAUGACGUCAAAUCAUCAUGCCCCUUAUGACCUGGGCUACACACGUGCUACAAUGGUUGGUACAACGAGUUGCGAGUCGGUGACGGCGAGCUAAUCUCUUAAAGCCAAUCUCAGUUCGGAUUGUAGGCUGCAACUCGCCUACAUGAAGUCGGAAUCGCUAGUAAUCGCGGAUCAGCACGCCGCGGUGAAUACGUUCCCGGGCCUU
This 463-nucleotide ribosomal RNA is filed under the name uncultured Streptococcus sp. RNAcentral's name for it is "bacterial SSU rRNA". It matches the Rfam family "Bacterial small subunit ribosomal RNA", at positions 918 to 1380 of the family's 1533-position model. The record is from RNAcentral. Lineage: Bacteria; Bacillati; Bacillota; Bacilli; Lactobacillales; Streptococcaceae.